AAAUUGAAGAGUUUGAUCAUGGCUCAGAUUGAACGCUGGCGGCAGGCCUAACACAUGCAAGUCGAGCGGAAACGAGUUAUCUGAACCUUCGGGGRACGAUAACGGCGUCGAGCGGCGGACGGGUGAGUAAUGCCUAGGAAAUUGCCCUGAUGUGGGGGAUAACCAUUGGAAACGAUGGCUAAUACCGCAUGAUGCCUWYGGGCCAAAGAGGGGGACCUU
RNAcentral lists this ribosomal RNA (219 nucleotides) under Vibrio parahaemolyticus. RNAcentral's name for it is "partial 16S ribosomal RNA". It matches the Rfam family "Bacterial small subunit ribosomal RNA", at positions 1 to 211 of the family's 1533-position model. Lineage: Bacteria; Pseudomonadati; Pseudomonadota; Gammaproteobacteria; Vibrionales; Vibrionaceae. The record is from RNAcentral.